GCCCCGCUAGCUCAAUUGGCAGAGCAUCUGACUCUUAAUCAGAGGGUUUUUGGUUCGAGUCCAAAGCGGGGCA
RNAcentral lists this transfer RNA (73 nucleotides) under Planctomycetota bacterium. Its description in RNAcentral is "Planctomycetes bacterium (freshwater metagenome) tRNA-Lys". It matches the Rfam family "tRNA". From Rfam's summary of the family: Transfer RNA (tRNA) molecules are approximately 80 nucleotides in length. Their secondary structure includes four short double-helical elements and three loops (D, anti-codon, and T loops). The record is from RNAcentral. Lineage: Bacteria; Pseudomonadati; Planctomycetota.